CCAAAAGUGGCAGCUGGUAUCCUCCAGGGAAAACAUCCAAUGGGUGAAUAUGAAGAGCAAUAAGCCUUGGAAGAGGCUGGAGCACCAGGAAUUGAUGCCCGGCGGAGACAGCAGUCCCGGAUCCCAGUCCAAGUGUAAUAAGUGGCCCCACCAAGAGGGAACCAAGUGCCAGUGAUCUGUUGGAUGAUGAGAAAAACGCGACUAGCGGCAAUCUAACUUGAACAAGGAAAAAUGCGCCGCUACCAGAUGGAGUGGUGAGAGGUGUGAGGUGUGAGAGGAAAAUGGAAAGUGCGUUUCUGUUGCGUGCCAGGAGGAAUGUUGUCAACACGCAAGAACGGGUGAUCGUAGCAUACACGCAUCAGGAUGAUAAAUCUCAGAUUCAGGUUGCAUGUGUCGGACAAAGCUAUGCGAUGUGGAACAUUUGAAAACAUCUUUACCGGUAGAAAUCGUCAAUGCUCUAGAUCGCAUCCGAAAAUUCACCGGUUUGCAGUGUAUCAGGAUUUCAUAUAUGUUUUAAGAAAGUCUGGUGUUGGAGCAGUUUUCGGUCGAUUGAACCAGUCACCACCUGCGCAUUUAUUAGCGACAACGAAAACAUCUAUACGGAAUCUAUCAACGCAACUUGGUCCCCAACCCAUAUUAGAUGUUCAUAGUAAGUAUUAGUGUGUUGCAUAACUAAAGGCAACUAAGAUUACGCUAGCAAAUUUUAUCGGCAAAAUGAGAAGAUAUUUAGCUAUCACGCCUUGACAGCUAGAUUUGCUUUAAUUUUGGUUGACUAAAGGUGAUA
Long non-coding RNA from Uranotaenia lowii, 784 nucleotides. RefSeq lists it as uncharacterized. Lineage: Eukaryota; Metazoa; Arthropoda; Insecta; Diptera; Culicidae. The record is from RefSeq and is a predicted model, not a curated record. The transcript is spliced from 3 exons.